GAGAGAAAGGGGAAAGCUAAGGCGAGCGUGGGUCGUAAGCGGAGAGAGAGAGAUGGAAGGUUGGGACCCAAAUACGAAGUCGACGCUGACACAGAUCCCCUUGCUAACGACAAAGGCGGGUCCUAGAGACGGAGCGGCAUGGACGCAGAGGCUGAAGGAAGAGUACAAAGCUCUCAUAGCCUACACUCAGAUGAACAAAUCCAACGACAACGAUUGGUUUCGUAUCUCCGCCGCAAAUCCCGAAGGCACUCGUUGGACCGGCAAAUGCUGGUACGUCUACAACCUCCUCAAGUAUGAAUUCGACCUCCAAUUCGAUAUUCCUGUCACUUACCCUUCCACCGCACCCGAACUUGAACUCCCUCAAUUGGACGGCAAGACCCAGAAGAUGUAUAGGGGUGGAAAGAUCUGCUUGACCGUGCACUUCAAGCCUCUUUGGGCCAAAAACUGCCCCAGAUUUGGUAUAGCACAUGCACUUUGCUUAGGCCUUGCCCCGUGGCUUGCUGCGGAGAUACCCAUUCUUGUGGAUUCUGGUAUGAUCAAGCACAAAGAUGAUGCAACCACAUCAACUGAAUCUUAGUUAUCCUAUGUCUCACCGAAGCUAUGCAACAUGGCAAAUGAAUCAGUGAUUCUCAUCUGAACUUGAUUUUCAAUCAAAUUAUCAGCUAUUGCCUUUUAUACAUCGAUAAUGAUGAAUUUGUUGGCUAAUAAUGGUUUUUGUUCUCGUUCGUUUGCCUUUCUGUUUGUCUUCAAUCGUGUGUAGGGUAGUUCAUAACAGCUAAAACUGCCUUUAUGUGGAAUAAACAUUCUUAAACGGGAACGAUUUCUUCGGCUAAAGUGAAACAGUUUGUGACAAUAAAAAAAACUAGCCAGUGUAUCCCUUUUGAAGGGUAAAAGUUCUCAGGAAAACAAAAAGCAGGGACAAUAGCAUGCCGAACUUCUCAAUCAUCGAAGGAGCACAAAGGAGCGAAUUGCAACAAUACGGAUUGAUGGACCAAAGGGUCAAUUUCAAAGGGACAGUCUUGUAGUCAACCCAACAAAAAACUAUGAAAUAUUCUCACGUGAAAAUGAUUAAUGAGGCACUUCAUACUUUGAAAUAUUCUGAACAUUGUUUUUUUGUUAAAACCGAUCUUCUCUUCUCAGAAAAUAGGACCAGCAGAGACAAUCUCUUCAGUCAACUUCUGAUCUUUCCCUAUCUUAUAGGUCAUGAAUCCAUCAAAGUUCUUCUUGAAUAGACUUGCCAGUUUCAAGAGCGUAUCUUGGUAGGCCUUUUUGUCAGACCACUGCAAUUUAAGGCAUACUUAACAUCAGGCACUUCAUACCCAAUUUUGACACUUGAUAUGAGAAAAGUAGUGGCCAGAAAAAAUGUAUACGUUGAGCAUCAACUUACAGUAUUCACGGGGUCCAAGAUUUCCGAAGGAACUCCUCCUACUGCUAUUGGGAUCUCAAACCCAAACACUUCAGUCUUGGCGUACUUUUCAUUCAAAAGACUCCCGGAGUGAAUAGCAUCGAUGAUUUUCCUAGUAUACGCUAGCUUGAUCCGAUUGCCCAGUCCAUAACUGUCAAUUUAUAGGGAAGAAGAAUUAGUUUUAGCAAGGAGAAAACUGCCAUGUAAAUGCUUUGUCUUCGAGUCCACACCUUCCUCCUGACCAGCCAGUAUUGACAAGCCAUCCAGUAGCUCCGUGCUUCUGCAUCCUUUCAGCCAGCAUUGCUGCAUAUUUGGUAGGGUGCAUCAUUAUGAAUGCUGCCCCGAAACAAGCAGAGAAUGUAGCCUGGGGCUCUUUUAUACCAUCCUCUGUCCCAGCAACCAAAGCUGUGUAGCCACUGAUGAAAUGGUACAUGGUUUGGGCCAAGCUCAGCUUGCUUACUGGGGGAAGUACCCCAAAUGCAUCACAAGCUAGAAGGAUGACAUUCUUUGCAUGGGGAGCAACACAUGGUAUCCUUGCAUUGGGUAUGUACUCAAUAGGAUAUGCUGCACGAGUGUUCUCUGAAAAACCAAAAGCUCCAAGCUAUUAUUCAACACGAAUCCAAAAAAUAGUAAUAUAACCAAUGAUUUGAAUCUCUGUUAUUUCAUAAUUCAUAGCAAUCCUGUCAGUGUUAAUAUUUUGUGCAAUUUUAAUGCAUAAAGUUUUAUGCCAACAACAGCAUACUUGCGAAAGAUGUGUGAUUCACCCCGACCACUCAACUUCCUUAUUGAUAAAACGAUAAGUGAUUUUUCACAAAGCAUUAGUACUGAGUCCAUCUGUAAUCUCACUUUGUAUAGGAUUCGGCUUUACCCUUUUGACAUCCACGAACAUAACCUCCUUGACCACAUUUAUUUCAUUAUACUUACCGGUUACAGAUUUGUCUGAGUAAUCUACAUCUCGAGUAUGCUCAUCGAAAACAACAUUUUCGAGUACUGCAAACAGAAGCAGGUAAAAUAAUUAUCGGUCAGGUUGGGUGGCGCCAUAGAGACUGUAUUUAAGAGCAACUCUUUAGUCGAAUAUGAGAUUGUUACCUGUCCCAAAUUUGAUGGCAUUCCAGAUGUCCGGUUCCUUAUCCUUUGAAAGAUCAACACACUUUGCAUAGCAACCCCCUUCAAUAUUUGACACCCCAUUUUCACUCCAGCAAUGUUCAUCAUCUCCAAUUAAAUACCGGUUAUGGUCGGUAGAAAGAGUAGUCUUUCCAGUACCUAUGAGGAUCACAGCAUCAAAGGGAUUAAUGAAAACUCAACAGGAUACAAACUUGAUUUUCAAGUAAUGACUCCCUUAUUGAAGGAACUCGUAUAUCUGCACCUGAUAAUCCAAAAAAGAGAGCAACAUCGCCAUCUUUGCCCAUAUUGCACCCAGAAUGUAGGGAGAGAAUAUUGCGCUUGGGCAUGAGGUAGUGCAUUACGCUAAAGAGACCUUUCUUCAUUUCCCCAGCAUAUUGCGUGCCAAGGAUCACCAUUUCUUUCCUUGCUAUGUUGAUGUCUAUGCUAGUAGAUGAAGUCAUGUAGUGCGUGUAACGAUUACAAGGGAACUGUCCUGCAUUGUAUAUAGUAAAGUCUGGAGUUCCAAAUUCCUCUAGCUCUUCAGGAGUGGGUCGGAUGCACCUGUCAAAAUUUUCUUCUUAUAGGCAUGCAUACUUGAGUAUUUGACUGUUCUAGCAUACUUAAUGCCUAUCAAACUUUGUUCUUAAGAUUGUAAAGAAUUAUGUGGUAAUGUUCAAAGAUUUAUUUCUAUGGAUGC
This is an RNA transcript of Abrus precatorius (Indian licorice), 3206 nucleotides long. It is a transcript of the gene named ubiquitin-fold modifier-conjugating enzyme 1, with no coding region annotated. Lineage: Eukaryota; Viridiplantae; Streptophyta; Magnoliopsida; Fabales; Fabaceae. The record is from RefSeq and is a predicted model, not a curated record. The transcript is spliced from 5 exons.